Long non-coding RNA from Lepisosteus oculatus (spotted gar), 368 nucleotides. RefSeq lists it as uncharacterized. Lineage: Eukaryota; Metazoa; Chordata; Actinopteri; Semionotiformes; Lepisosteidae. The record is from RefSeq and is a predicted model, not a curated record.
GGGGCUGCAUUUAUCUUCAAGUUUGUAAGCAGUGAUAAUCAUGUUUUGUUUUGUUUUGUUUUUUUGUACAGUAAGUACAAAACGUUAUUUUUACGUGAGAUCUGAAUUUCACCUCCAUGAUCACAGAGGAGCUGGAGCCCAUCCUGGCAAGCAAUGAGUGAAAGUUCCUGAUGGCUGAAAGCAUGCAGACAGAAAGACUCUUCAAAAUGCUCUGUUGCCCAACUGCAAAGAAUUUCAGAGCAGUGCAAAUAGAAAAUAUAGGUAACCAUUUCUUCUUUUUUAUUGCCCUUCUGAAACUCAUUCAACUUUGGUAACCAUUACCCAGAAUGCCAGUAAAAACAGGUUAAUAGGUGACUUAGGGCAGUGAU